Molecule: RNA transcript, 1597 nt
Organism: Sceloporus undulatus (fence lizard)
Lineage: Eukaryota; Metazoa; Chordata; Lepidosauria; Squamata; Phrynosomatidae
Gene: WHR1
Gene name: serine/threonine kinase 19
Exons: 10
Source: RefSeq, a predicted model, not a curated record
GGAAAGAGAGGGAGGGUGGGGACAAUGGCUUGACGUCAUAUUUUCGCAACAAGCAGCAGGAGGAGAGAGCCAGGCUUCUUGCUGGCGCAGGUUGGCAGCACUAAAGAGAAGAGAAGGGAAGGAACCUGCAAGCUUCCUCCUCUCCUGCUUUUGGAGCACGACAGUGAAGGAAUGAUAAUUAUUCUUGCCAUAGUAAUGAAGCCACAAGGAAACACUUCUACUUAAUUCCAGCUGUUAAAGCCCUCCACUCCAGCCACAUGAAGAGGAAGCACCAGCUCAUUUCUGAGGCUUUCAAGGCCAAGAAACAGAAGCUGGCUUUUGGAUCAGAGCCUGUGGAACAAGAGGGUCCUGAAGCAGUGGAAUCUGCUCUCCAGUAUUUGGCCUCUCUUUUCCCUCGCAAAUUGUUUGAGGAUUCACUGCCGCCCUUGAUUCUGAGACACCAGAUCUACAGUCUUGUCAAAGACCGCACAACUGUGGACAGGCAUCUGAGCCAACUGAAGGAUGAAGGCCGGAUCAGGAUGUUCCAGCAUGGCUUCGAUGCAGACACAUUUGUCGUGACAUUCACAGAUGACUACAAAGCUAAGGUGCUGGAGUUUGCAUCUGGGAAGGAAUUUGCCCGGACAGUGAAGAAGUUCCUAGAUUCUGUCCUCACUUCCUGUCCUGACAUCAGCUAUGACAAAAAGAGGAUGCUAAAUGAAUUUGGCUUCAGGGACACUGAGAUCACGCAGCUGGUGAAUGCUGGACUCCUGACUGUCCGUGAUGCUGGAAGCUGGUGGCUAGCAGUGCCUGGAGCAGGCCGCUUUGUCAAAUACUUCAUCAAAGGGAGAAAAGCUGUGCUGGGUAUGAUUCAGAAAGCGAAAUACAAGGAAGUUCUACUAUCUGAUUUACAGAAUCGUCGAGCUCCAAGUGCUGUAAAACUGGGCAUUCCCUACCACAUACAUGACAUCAUUGGAGCCCAGCUGGUUGACUGAAAUGCAAUUUGAGAUUUAGACAACAUGUCAAUGUGCAAAGGCAGAACAGCAGAGAAAAUUUGUAUCAUUUGGAGGUCUCUGGCAGCAUAAUUCAGAAUUUUUACCCUUUCUUUCUUGUGUGCCAACUACAACAGGAACUCUUCUCCGACUGGCUGAUGAUUAAACACAUAUCAAGUUGCCAAUGAGCAGAGGGUUGGCCUGAAAUGAACUGACCUCACCUGGAAUGCUUGGAAAUGACUCUGGCAUGUGAGGACCACUCUCUUAACCACCACCAGCAGUGGAGACAGAAGGACUCUCUUCCCACGCAAAAUAACUUAUUUAUGAACAGAUGUGUCUUUUGCACUUAAUAUGGAUCCAUAAUAUGGAGAACACCUCAGCAGGACCUGUGACUCCACAGUAAUGAUUGCAAUGUCAAAUGAAACUGUGAUGUGAAUAGGAGAUUGAAAUGUGAUUUUUGGCCAUAAUCUGAAGCAUCAUGUUAUGCCUACCCAUUUAGGGCAACAACACCCAGUGUUCAACAUUCCCCACUCUCAAUUCAUUCCUUAUAUGUGUUUGGGCCACGGGUGUUUAUUGUCUUUCAGCUGCCAAGAUAUUCAAAUGCCUUGAAGUAAAAACAAUUUCUUUCA